CUCGUAGGCGGCCAACUAAGUCGGAUGUGAAAUCCCCAGGCUUAACCUGGGAACUGCAUCCGAUACUGGAUGGCUUGAAUCCGGGAGAGGGAUGCAGAAUUCCAGGUGUAGCGGUGAAAUGCGUAGAUAUCUGGAGGAAUACCGGUGGCGAAGGCGGCAUCCUGGACCGGCAUUGACGCUGAGUGAGCGAAAGCUAGGGAGCAAACG
This 207-nucleotide ribosomal RNA is filed under the name uncultured bacterium. RNAcentral's name for it is "partial 16S ribosomal RNA". It matches the Rfam family "Bacterial small subunit ribosomal RNA", at positions 568 to 774 of the family's 1533-position model. The record is from RNAcentral.